Long non-coding RNA from Paramisgurnus dabryanus, 1938 nucleotides. RefSeq lists it as uncharacterized. The record is from RefSeq and is a predicted model, not a curated record. Lineage: Eukaryota; Metazoa; Chordata; Actinopteri; Cypriniformes; Cobitidae.
CGCUGCAGACUGUAGCGCCGUGACAUCAUGUACUGACGUCAGGUAUGUCCUACGUAGCGUAUGUCUUUAAUGCGCAUGUACAAAAUAUUUCACUUUAAUCAGUAGGUGGCGGUAAUGCGCCUAAAAGUUUAACCAACCUUAAUAAUACAGCGAAGAAGAAGUUUUUCUCGUCUGCAGUUUGGAUUAGCGUUUUUUCGAAAGGGAUUAAUUCGAUUGCGGUUUAACUUACUGGAAACAGUCACCAGGUUCAGUCCAGCUAAGCCAGUGCUUAUGAGGAAGGCUUCCUUACUUGGGGACUGCUUCAGGAUGUAGAAUGAACAAUGCCACCUAAGAUCCUGUGGCAGAUCCUGAUGGGAGUAGUCAAGGUUGAUGGCGAUGUGGCAGUCUUGAGGCUUGCACUCAAAUGCUAGAUGUUUAGGGACAUUGUUAGUGAGCCCAAAUUUAAAGAACAGGCUCACUUUUUGUGGCUUGACAGUCAUGAGAACUGGAUUGUGUUUUACAGACAACAGUUUCGGAUGCCCUACUCUGUGACUCAAUGCUUCCACUGUGGAGAAAUCUUCAAAGACUGUCCACCUGGCAAUGUUGGGGGUGGCAGAAGGGGUGUCCUAAGGAUUUUAUUCUAAAAAGGAGUUUGAAGGCUGUUGCUCCACUGACUUUUUUUUAAAUGAUGGAGGGGAAUUUCAGACAGAAUAGAUAAAGUUAUUAAUAAAGGAUGGAUGGAAUGCAACUAGGCAAUAAAAAUUGGCUAUAGAACUUGAGGAAAACAUACGGUACUUUGAAAAAAUAUGCAAAAUGUUAUUUUCCUAGUAUUGCAUCCCUAAGUUGAUGUUUCGAAUUAAAAUACAGUUUACCUAACAGAUCUUUCAUAUUAUGAUGCUAAACAGGCUCUUAAAUAGGACUUUGGUCAGAUGAUGAUGGGUGCAUCCCAUGAUUUCAUUCUUAUUUUAUGCCCAUAAUAAUUAAAAUAGUGAUGCUUUUUGCAGUAUGGGAUGGUGUAUAAUUUUCCAUGAAAGUAAAUUUAUUUCAGAAGACAUAAUUCCUUCUACCUCAAAGUGAAAACAAUAUUUUAGGAACUCUUCAUAUCUUCUAGAUGUCCAUUUGACCCCCACAGGGACUAUAAAGGGACCUACCAUCUUCCCAAUAUUCCAGUCAAAAUCAUUACUCUGCCACCUCUCCCUAAUGUUACAGUCUUGUUUGAACAUAGUGGCUAUUAACCAAUAAUCCAGAAUGACAUUCAUCUACAUUAUUCAGUGUAUUUUUGCAUGUCAAUAAAUAAAACUGUUUUAAAAUAUUCUUUGUGUAUUCUUAGCUCACAUCAAAUGUCUCAUUUUUGCAAGUUGUGGUUUGGGGAGGGGUAAAAAUACAGCUUUAUGCACUGAAGGAUCCUGUAUCGAGAGGUUCUUGGGAUUCCAGAGACACCAGCAGGUUUAAAUACAUGUAUUCUUCUUACCUGUGUUUUUUAAUUAUUCCUUUUUUAAAUAUUUUCCUAAAAAUAUAUUUUAAAAAGCCUUAUAGUCAAAUCUUUCUGUAUUGUGAAUCACUCAUGAAUAAUUAUAAUAGUUUAAUGAUUUCUGUUUAGGUCCACCAAAUAUAAAUUGUUAUACAAAAUAAUUUGCUUUUUUUACGAUAAUGCACACUUUUUUAUACCCAUACUGUAUGAGGACCACAACUUGCUCUAUACUAUGGAACAGCAUAUUUUUCAAAAUAUUAAAAUAUCUUUUGACAUUUUUAUUUCAUUUAAAUAUAACAGCAUCCACACUGUCAUAUAACUGUUGAGGGUGAAAUACAAUUUGAAAACUUACUGGUUGUAUUGGAAAAAUAAACAAAAAUGGCAUGUGCAUAAUAAUUUGGAACGCGGUGUAUUAUACCCUGUAUAUGUAUCGUUUUAUGUGUCCUGUUUAUAAAACGAAGCAACAUUGUGUUAUCAUUGAGAUUUUG